Molecule: long non-coding RNA, 250 nt
Filed under: Brachypodium distachyon (stiff brome)
Lineage: Eukaryota; Viridiplantae; Streptophyta; Magnoliopsida; Poales; Poaceae
Description: long non-coding RNA (BDIS_LNC000032)
Source: RNAcentral
GACAGGGAAGAAAAACGGCACAUCAGCGAAUGAAAAACUAGAUAACUCUGCAGCUAGGCUUGAGAAGUCUCAGUCCAUGAAGGCUGAAAGGAACUCUACCUCAGAAAAGCUUGAGAAAUCUCAGUCCAUGAAGGUUGAAAAGAAUUGUACCUCAGCAAAUGUGAAGGUUGAAAAGAAUUCUACAUCAGCAAGUGUGAAGGUUGAAAAGAAUUCUACAUCAGCAAGUGUGAAGGUUGAAAAGAAUUCUUCU